GGUGAACGCUGGCGGCGUGGAUGAGGCAUGCAAGUCGAAUGGGUUUAGACCCAUGGCAGACGAGGUAGGAACAGGUAGGUACGUACCCUAAAGUCGGGGAUAACCCGGAGAAAUCCGGAAUAAUACUCGAUGGUCUCGCAAGAGUAAAGAUUUAUCGCUUUAGGAACGGCCUGCCUUCUAUCAGCUUGAUGGUAAGGUAACGGCUUACCAUGGCUACGACGGAUAGGGGAGGUGAGAGCCUGACCCCCACCGAUGGAACUGAGACACGGUCCAUACUCCUACGGGAGGCCGCAGUCGAGAAUCUUCCGCAAUGGACGAAAGUCUGACGGAGCGACGCCGCGUGGUGGAUGAAGUCCUUAGGGACGUAAACACCUUUUAUGGAGGAAGAAGUUUAUUGACAUUACUCCAUGAAUAAGGGGCUCCCAAUUCUG
This 431-nucleotide ribosomal RNA is filed under the name uncultured bacterium. RNAcentral describes it as "bacterial SSU rRNA". It matches the Rfam family "Bacterial small subunit ribosomal RNA", at positions 28 to 505 of the family's 1533-position model. The record is from RNAcentral.